UACGUAGGGUGCAAGCGUUAAUCGGAAUUACUGGGCGUAAAGCGUGCGCAGGCGGUUAUGUAAGACAGGUGUGAAAUCCCCGGGCUUAACCUGGGAACUGCAUUUGUGACUGCAUAGCUAGAGUACGGUAGAGGGGGAUGGAAUUCCGCGUGUAGCAGUGAAAUGCGUAGAUAUGCGGAGGAACACCGAUGGCGAAGGCAAUCCCCUGGACCUGUACUGACGCUCAUGC
This 229-nucleotide ribosomal RNA is filed under the name uncultured bacterium. Its description in RNAcentral is "partial 16S ribosomal RNA". It matches the Rfam family "Bacterial small subunit ribosomal RNA", at positions 524 to 752 of the family's 1533-position model. The record is from RNAcentral.